Molecule: ribosomal RNA, 805 nt
Filed under: Acinetobacter radioresistens WC-A-157
Lineage: Bacteria; Pseudomonadati; Pseudomonadota; Gammaproteobacteria; Moraxellales; Moraxellaceae
Description: bacterial SSU rRNA
Rfam family: Bacterial small subunit ribosomal RNA
Source: RNAcentral
UUGAACGCUGGCGGCAGGCUUAACACAUGCAAGUCGAGCGGAUGAAGGUAGCUUGCUACCGGAUUCAGCGGCGGACGGGUGAGUAAUGCUUAGGAAUCUGCCUAUUAGUGGGGGACAACGUUCCGAAAGGAGCGCUAAUACCGCAUACGUCCUACGGGAGAAAGCAGGGGACCUUCGGGCCUUGCGCUAAUAGAUGAGCCUAAGUCGGAUUAGCUAGUUGGUAGGGUAAAGGCCUACCAAGGCGACGAUCUGUAGCGGGUCUGAGAGGAUGAUCCGCCACACUGGGACUGAGACACGGCCCAGACUCCUACGGGAGGCAGCAGUGGGGAAUAUUGGACAAUGGGGGGAACCCUGAUCCAGCCAUGCCGCGUGUGUGAAGAAGGCCUUUUGGUUGUAAAGCACUUUAAGCGAGGAGGAGGCUACCUAGGUUAAUACUUUAGGAUAGUGGACGUUACUCGCAGAAUAAGCACCGGCUAACUCUGUGCCAGCAGCCGCGGUAAUACAGAGGGUGCGAGCGUUAAUCGGAUUUACUGGGCGUAAAGCGUGCGUAGGCGGCCAAUUAAGUCAAAUGUGAAAUCCCCGAGCUUAACUUGGGAAUUGCAUUCGAUACUGGUUGGCUAGAGUAUGGGAGAGGAUGGUAGAAUUCCAGGUGUAGCGGUGAAAUGCGUAGAGAUCUGGAGGAAUACCGAUGGCGAAAGCAGCCAUCUGGCCUAAUACUGACGCUGAGGUACGAAAGCAUGGGGAGCAAACAGGAUUAGAUACCCUGGUAGUCCAUGCCGUAAACGAUGUCUACUAGCCGUUGGGG